UUACUAUCGGGACCUUCCGCAUCCUGCUGAUGUUUUGUUGCUUAGAUAUGAAUGGCUGAGCGGAGGCUGUAAAACCUGGCACUCUGCUUGGGUAUGAGGUUCUUCCUGCCAUCCUGCCAUCAUUUGUUUUUUAUGUUUUGUCGCCAAAAGUGACCUUGAGGAACCCUGGGAGCUCAGGAAGGAAGGAGCGCCCAGAAGCAGGGACAGGGAGCUGGUUGGGGAGGACCAGAAAUCAGGUUAUCAAUACUCUGGCUGACCUUCGUCAUCGUGGGACUGACUUUGGUGGAAGUCUUUGGUUACUUAUCAUUACUGUGUUUCGAGAAGUUAUAAAUUUGCCAUCUCCCUCGCACAAGUUACCUUUCUGUGUCUUUCCUGAAGACUAUCUUCCUCUCAAAAUGGACAUGAUGGAUCCACGGAUGUACAGCAGAGAGCCAGGAGGUCCAACCGCCGUAGACAGGAAGGAAUUAAAAUUGUCCUGGAAGCCAUCUUUACUUUAUGGAGACAGGUGAAACCAAAGUUCGAGCUAAAAUCCAUAAGAUGAAGGUGA
This 547-nucleotide small RNA is filed under the name Pan troglodytes (chimpanzee). RNAcentral describes it as "processed transcript". Lineage: Eukaryota; Metazoa; Chordata; Mammalia; Primates; Hominidae. The record is from RNAcentral.